AUUGAACGCUGGCGGCAUGCUUUACACAUGCAAGUCGAACGGUAACAGGCCGCAAGGUGCUGACGAGUGGCGAACGGGUGAGUAAUGCAUCGGAACGUGCCCAGUCGUGGGGGAUAACUACUCGAAAGAGUAGCUAAUACCGCAUACGAUCUAUGGAUGAAAGCGGGGGACCGUAAGGCCUCGCGCGAUUGGAGCGGCCGAUGUCAGAUUAGGUAGUUGGUGGGGUAAAGGCUCACCAAGCCAACGAUCUGUAGCUGGUCUGAGAGGACGACCAGCCACACUGGGACUGAGACACGGCCCAGACUCCUACGGGAGGCAGCAGUGGGGAAUUUUGGACAAUGGGCGCAAGCCUGAUCCAGCAAUGCCGCGUGCAGGAAGAAGGCCUUCGGGUUGUAAACUGCUUUUGUACGGAACGAAACGGCUCUGGAUAAUACCCGGGGCUAAUGACGGUACCGUAAGAAUGAGCACCGGCUAACUACGUG
Molecule: ribosomal RNA, 482 nt
Filed under: uncultured bacterium
Lineage: Bacteria
Description: partial 16S ribosomal RNA
Rfam family: Bacterial small subunit ribosomal RNA
Source: RNAcentral